RNAcentral lists this ribosomal RNA (253 nucleotides) under uncultured bacterium. Its description in RNAcentral is "partial 16S ribosomal RNA". It matches the Rfam family "Bacterial small subunit ribosomal RNA", at positions 524 to 776 of the family's 1533-position model. The record is from RNAcentral.
UACGUAGGUGGCAAGCGUUGUCCGGAUUUACUGGGUGUAAAGGGCGUGUAGCCGGGUUGACAAGUCAGAUGUGAAAUCCUGCGGCUUAACCGCAGAACUGCAUUUGAAACUGUUGAUCUUGAGUACUGGAGAGGCAGACGGAAUUCCUAGUGUAGCGGUGAAAUGCGUAGAUAUUAGGAGGAACACCAGUGGCGAAGGCGGUCCGCUGGACAGCAACUGACGGUGAGGCGCGAAAGCGUGGGGAGCAAACAGG